UAGGGAAUCUUCGGCAAUGGACGAAAGUCUGACCGAGCAACGCCGCGUGAGUGAAGAAGGUUUUCGGAUCGUAAAACUCUGUUGUUAGAGAAGAACAAGGACGUUAGUAACUGAACGUCCCCUGACGGUAUCUAACCAGAAAGCCACGGCUAACUACGUGCCAGCAGCCGCGGUAAUACGUAGGUGGCAAGCGUUGUCCGGAUUUAUUGGGCGUAAAGCGAGCGCAGGCGGUUUCUUAAGACUGAUGUUAAAGCCCACGGCUCAACCGGGGAGGGUCAUUGGAAACUGGGGGACUGGAGUAGUGAAGAGGGGGGUGGAAUUCCAUGUGUAGCCGUGAAAUACGUAGAUAUAUGAAGGAACACCAGUGGCGAAGGCGGCUCUCUAGACUGUAACUGACGCUGAGGAUCGAAAGCGUGGGGGGCAAACAGG
RNAcentral lists this ribosomal RNA (429 nucleotides) under Gemmatimonadota bacterium. RNAcentral describes it as "Gemmatimonadetes bacterium partial 16S ribosomal RNA". It matches the Rfam family "Bacterial small subunit ribosomal RNA", at positions 355 to 776 of the family's 1533-position model. The record is from RNAcentral. Lineage: Bacteria; Pseudomonadati; Gemmatimonadota.